Molecule: unclassified non-coding RNA, 307 nt
Filed under: plant metagenome
Description: partial contains 5.8S ribosomal RNA, internal transcribed spacer 2, and large subunit ribosomal RNA
Rfam family: 5.8S ribosomal RNA (bases 1-105)
Source: RNAcentral
GAAGUGCGAUAAGUAAUGUGAAUUGCAGAAUUCAGUGAAUCAUCGAAUCUUUGAACGCACAUUGCGCCCGCCAGCACUCUGGCGGGCAUGCCUGUUCGAGCGACAUUUCAACCCUCAGAACCCCUUGCGGGAUCUGGCGUUGGGGAUUGGCAUCCAGCCAGCCCCGAAAUCUAGUGGCGGUCCCUCCGCGACCUCCCCUGUGCAGUAGCGAUACCUCGCAGCGGGACAGCGGUCUGACCACGCCGUAAAACCCCCAACUUCUCAAGGUUGACCUCGAAUCAGGUAGGAAUACCCGCUGAACUUAAGC